GAGCUGGAUUCUGCUGUCACUGUCAAAAUCAAACUGAAGUUGUUUGUCCGCGAAUGUUGGUCUAGUCUGUUCCAGAGUUAUCGAUUAGAUAUUCUUAGUACGUGCGAUUUUAAACUGACAAUUCCAAAAAACUUGAGGUGUUUAUCUCCACUGAACAAAAAGAGCGCAAAACGAGCAUGUGAAAACGGCUGUCAUUCGAACAUAACCUGUUAUUCUCGUUAGUGUUGUUAAACAUUCCAUGUUUUUAUUGUUUAUGUUGACUUCCGUGUUUUUGGCGUGAUAUUGUUUAAAAAUCCGAUCUUAUUCGGGUGAUGUGACUAGUUUUUGUCGUUUGAAGAUCCCCAAAACCAUCCAUCAUAUUCAUUUAGUUAAGUGUCUAGUGGGUUCGUUUCGAUAACGUGUCGUAUUCAAUCAUGUCGGCUCAAUCUAGCGGCGAUAUGAGGCAAGAGAGAUCGAACUCUGUAGGAGCGAGGCUGUCUUUCCGAGGCUUCCACGCCUUGCUCAGAGAUGGCAUCAGUUGGCAGCUCUGCUUCCAUCAAGGAUCUUGUCAAGGAAAUAUCCAUGGUGAAGCAGAUCCGACGUUUGUUUAUAUAUACUGUAGCCUCGACGGAAAUAAAAUCGUGAUUUUGAAUUGA
This is a long non-coding RNA of Leptinotarsa decemlineata (Colorado potato beetle), 635 nucleotides long. Lineage: Eukaryota; Metazoa; Arthropoda; Insecta; Coleoptera; Chrysomelidae. The record is from RefSeq and is a predicted model, not a curated record.